GCCGAAGUGGUGAUGGCGUGAAGGCGGAGCAGGGGCCGUGGUGGGGUACAUGAUGGAGGCUGCAUGAGCAGGCGUGGCAGGAACACCUAGUGGUAGAAAUCCUGGCGGACUGAGAGGCCCGUGGGAUGUUUGCAGAGACCAUCAGGACCGCUGACCUCAGAGCCCUGGGGCACCACCGUGGACUGACCUUCAGUGACAUACAUGGGCACUGCGUUGCAGGCAACACCCAUCGGGGGAGUCUGGACACUGGCAAAGACCCAGCGCUUCAGGCAUGAAGAUUGUGUCACCUCUGUCCUCGAAGUUACCAUGAGCCCCUCCACUGCUGCUUUGUGGUGUCAUCAUGAAGGUCAAGUGUUUACACCAAGGGGCGCUUUACAGAAACCCGUUUCCAGACAAGGCCUGGGACACCGUGGUCCCUGUGGAGUGAAUGUGCCAAGACAAAAUCUAGUAAAAAGCAAAUCAAGAUACGGUAUUAGUCUUCAUCACAAUGCUCCACGCAUGAGUUGAAAAAAUCCAAAAA
Molecule: long non-coding RNA, 520 nt
Organism: Tupaia belangeri chinensis (Chinese tree shrew)
Lineage: Eukaryota; Metazoa; Chordata; Mammalia; Scandentia; Tupaiidae
Exons: 3
Source: RefSeq, a predicted model, not a curated record